This 116-nucleotide ribosomal RNA is filed under the name Pteropus alecto (black flying fox). Lineage: Eukaryota; Metazoa; Chordata; Mammalia; Chiroptera; Pteropodidae. The record is from RNAcentral.
GUUUAUGGCCAUGCCACUCUGGACAAGCCCGAUCCCAUCUGAUCUCAGAAGCUAAGCAGGGUUGGGUCUGGUUAGUACUUAGAUGGGAGACCUAGGAAGACCAGGUGCUGUAGUCA